ACCACGUGAUCAUCCACGUGAGCAGUGCAAGUUCGCUGAGAAAAGUAGGAGCUGCAGAUCCCCGAGACAACAAAGUGCAGAGCUGGAUGAACACCGCAGGCCAAGCAGCAUCAGUGAAGCAGGAAAGCUGACGUUUCGGGCCCAGCUCCUUCGCUGAGACCAAGAUUUGUGCAAUUGAGAUACCAGCGAUCGUUGCCAAAGCCCUGUUACUUGUGGAGAAGGUCAUGUUUAACUUCUGUGUGCUGCUGCAGUUCAUAUGAUGAAGGUGCUCCCACAAUGCGGUCAUUUGAGAAGUUACAGAUCAUUCAUCGAGCGAUACUGAAGAGCUGAUGGUGAUAUUACAAGUGGACUUGCAGGUGGGAAACUCAAUAAUUGUAACACCAAACUCUGACAGAAUUAUUCAAUUCAUCAACAUCUGGAUAUUUGCAUUGUGUAUUUCCACAAUUUUACUUCUGCACUGUUCUUAACCUUUUGAUCCCUCUGAAAGACUGAGUUACAAUGCCUGUCCUUCCUCCCUGGCUCUCCCACCUCUCUUUCAGUAGUUUUGUGCAAAUACUGACUGGAUCCCUUACCUGGAGGAUAUUUAUUUGAAUUUGUUCUAAUGAUGAUCCAGCAUAUUUCCCAAGUGUCGCUCCAUAAAUGUCCAGAGGAUUUCUCGAUUUCACAAUCUGUGGUUGUUCUUCUGGUUUCUCACUCACUGCACUUACUUUCUGUUUGAAAGCUUAGUCUGCAAUUGGAGAAUUCAAACAGGUCCACAUCCAGCUCUGACAGUCACUUUGUUUAUCACAAACCAGUUACCUCAGGAUUUUGAACAUUGGAGGAAAAAGCAGCAUUCACACUGGGGAGAAAUGCACAUGGUCUGUAAAGAGUCUGUGAAGAUUCAUCUGAAAUGUCCGAACACCAGCGCAGUGACACUGGGGAGAGACUGUGGAAAUGUGCAGGUUGCAGGAAGGAAUUUUUAAAAUCCAUCCCAGCUAGAAACUGACCACCAGAGUCACACUGGAGAGAAACCAUUCACCUGCUCUGAUUGUGGAAUGGGAUUCACUCAGUCAUCUAACCUGCUUAAACACUACUGAGUUCGCACUGUAGAGAAACCAUUUACAUGCUUGAAAUGUGGGAAAGCAUUCACUCAGACAUCUCAACCGCUGAUGCACUAGCGAAUUCACACUGGAGACAGACCGUUGGCCUGUUCUGCGUGAGGGAAAGGCUUUGCUGACUCGAAUUGCCCGCUGAUACACCAGCGACUUCACUCUGGGGAGUGACCAUUCAUCUGCUCCCAGUGUGGGAAGGGAUUCACUUGCUCACCCAACCUGCAGAGCGUUCACACUGGGGAGAAACCAUUCACCUGCUCUAAAUUUGUGAAAGCAUUCACUUUGUCGUCCUACCUGCUCGUGUUCCAGCAGGUUCAUACUAGGGGGGGACCAUUCAUGAGCUCUGAGUGGGGGGAAAGCAUUCACUCAGUUAUCCAAACUGCUAACACACCAGCGAGUUCACAAAGAAGCACAGUUGAAGGAUUUUGCUGUCACACUCACAAUCAAAUGAACCAUGGUGUUGGGCUGUUUGUACUGAUGUUACUGAUCCCUGCUCAAUUAAACGUGCUGGUAUUGCAGAUAAAAUGUUAAUAA
Stegostoma tigrinum is the source of this 1625-nucleotide long non-coding RNA. RefSeq lists it as uncharacterized. The transcript has 4 exons. The record is from RefSeq and is a predicted model, not a curated record. NCBI's taxonomy places the organism in Eukaryota, Metazoa, Chordata, Chondrichthyes, Orectolobiformes, Stegostomatidae.